CCCUUAGAUGUUCUGGGCCGCACGCGUGCUACACUGAUGCAUUCAACGAGUCUAAAACCUGGUCUGAUAGGGCUGGGUAAUCUUUUGAAAGUGCAUCGUGAUUGGGAUAGAUGAUUGCAAUUCUUCAUCUUCAACGAGGAAUGCCUAGUAAACGCAAGUCAUCAGCUUGCAUUGAUUACGUCCCUGCCCUUUGUACACACCGCCCGUCGCUCCUACCGAUUGAAUGAUCCGAUGAAUACCCUGGAUUGAGAGUACGAAUAGGUUCGCUUAUUUCUGCUGCUCGAGAAGUGGAGUAAAUCUUAUCAUUUAGAGGAAGGAGAAGUCGUAACA
RNAcentral lists this ribosomal RNA (330 nucleotides) under uncultured eukaryote. RNAcentral describes it as "partial 18S ribosomal RNA". It matches the Rfam family "Eukaryotic small subunit ribosomal RNA", at positions 1470 to 1796 of the family's 1831-position model. The record is from RNAcentral.